Molecule: ribosomal RNA, 542 nt
Filed under: uncultured bacterium
Lineage: Bacteria
Description: partial 16S ribosomal RNA
Rfam family: Bacterial small subunit ribosomal RNA
Source: RNAcentral
UGGGGAAUAUUGCACAAUGGGCGCAAGCCUGAUGCAGCCAUGCCGCGUGUGUGAAGAAGGCCUUCGGGUUGUAAAGCACUUUCAGCGAGGAGGAAGGUGGUGAGCUUAAUACGCUCAUCAAUUGACGUUACUCGCAGAAGAAGCACCGGCUAACUCCGUGCCAGCAGCCGCGGUAAUACGGAGGGUGCAAGCGUUAAUCGGAAUUACUGGGCGUAAAGCGCACGCAGGCGGUUUGUUAAGUCAGAUGUGAAAUCCCCCGGGCUCAACCUGGGAACUGCAUUUGAAACUGGCAAGCUAGAGUCUCGUAGAGGGGGGUAGAAUUCCAGGUGUAGCGGUGAAAUGCGUAGAGAUCUGGAGGAAUACCGGUGGCGAAGGCGGCCCCCCUGGACGAAGACUGACGCUCAGGUGCGAAAAGGCGUGGGGGCAGCAAAACAGGAUUAGAUACCCUGGUAGUCCACGCUGUAAAACGAUGUCGAUUUUGGAGGUUGUGCCCUUNAGGCGUGGNUUCCGAGCUAACGNGUUAAAUCGACCGCCNGGGGAGU